Brochothrix thermosphacta is the source of this 219-nucleotide non-coding RNA. Lineage: Bacteria; Bacillati; Bacillota; Bacilli; Caryophanales; Listeriaceae. The record is from Rfam.
AUAAAAACGAUGAUAGGAACUAGUAGCAAGGCUGUGUUGUUGAGAGAGUUAGCGGGUGGUGCGAGCUAAUCAACACGAAUUGUGAACUCAUCCUUAAGUGCUCCAGUGAAAAGAGUAGUUGGAGACGUGCAUUUCGCGUUAAGAAAUUGAAGUGGAUACACUAUAUUUUGGUGUGUUAAUGCCGGGUGGUACCGCGGGAAGCAAAUUCUCGUCCCGAAA